UAGGUGGGGUUUAAUGCAGGUCUACAGUAACCUAUAGGUGGUGUUUAAUGCAGGUCUACAGUAACCUAUAGGUGGGGUUUAAUGCAGGUCUACAGUAACCUAUAGGUGGGGUUUAAUGCAGGUCUACAGUAACCUAUAGGUGGUGUUUAAUGCAGGCCUAUAGGUGGGGUUCAAUGCAGGUCUAUAGGUGGUGUUUAAUGCAGGUCUAUAGGUGGUGUUUAAUGCAGGUCUACAGUAACCUAUAGGUGGGGUUCAAUGCAGGUCUAUAGGUGGGGUUUAAUGCAGGUCUAUAGGUGGUGUUUAAUGCAGGUCUACAGUAACCUAUAGGUGGUGUUUAAUGCAGGUCUACAGUAACCUAUAGGUGGUGUUCAAUGCAGGUCUACAGUAACCUAUAGGUGGUGUUUAAUGCAGGCCUAUAGGUGGUGUUUAAUGCAGGUCUACAGUAACCUAUAGGUGGUGUUUAAUGCAGGUCUACAGUAACCUAUAGGUGGUGUUUAAUGCAGGCCUACAGUAACCUAUAGGUGGUGUUUAAU
Molecule: long non-coding RNA, 533 nt
Organism: Salvelinus namaycush (lake trout)
Lineage: Eukaryota; Metazoa; Chordata; Actinopteri; Salmoniformes; Salmonidae
Exons: 3
Source: RefSeq, a predicted model, not a curated record